RNAcentral lists this transfer-messenger RNA (398 nucleotides) under uncultured Anaeroplasma sp. It matches the Rfam family "transfer-messenger RNA". Rfam says of the family: Bacterial tmRNA, also known as 10Sa RNA or SsrA, is named for its dual tRNA and mRNA-like properties. Its role is to liberate the mRNA from a stalled ribosome. To accomplish this part of the tmRNA is used as a reading frame that ends in a translation stop signal. Lineage: Bacteria; Bacillati; Mycoplasmatota; Mollicutes; Anaeroplasmatales; Anaeroplasmataceae. The record is from RNAcentral.
GGGCUUGUUCCGGAUUCGCUGUGAUUUAUGAAGUUUUGUAAGCAUGUCGGAGUAGACUCCGUUAAAAACGUCGAGGUUUAAAUAACCGCAAACGAAAACAAUGAUUAUGCAUUCUUAGCAGCUCGUAACAACGGUGCAGCUAACUAUGCUUACGCUUGCUAAUAUAAUCCAAGCGGCCUACCCUAUUUGUUUUCUGUGCAUUUAGGCUUUAGGUUUUAAUUUAACAGAAUAUAUUAUUUGUGUGCUACUCUAACAUAAAUAACGAAUCUAAUAGAGUGUAGUCAGUCUUUGGUCUGCUUGUCCGCUUAGGGCUGAUGAAGUUUUGUGAUAAGAUAAACAUGUAGAAAGCAAAAUGGAGUGGGUUGCAUACAGGGGUUCGACUCCCCUCAGGUCCACCA